This is a long non-coding RNA of Penaeus monodon (black tiger shrimp), 520 nucleotides long. RefSeq lists it as uncharacterized. The record is from RefSeq and is a predicted model, not a curated record. The transcript is spliced from 2 exons. Lineage: Eukaryota; Metazoa; Arthropoda; Malacostraca; Decapoda; Penaeidae.
AACAUCAUAUUUGUAAUCAUGCUGCUCAAAUUUUAAUAUAUACCUAUUAAUUGACAGGACUACAUUCACCGAAUUGGUCGCACUGGCCGUGGUGAAGGACAGACAGGACAGGCGCUCUUAUUCCUGCGACCAGAAGAAGAAAAAUUUAUUGCUGUUUUAAAGGGAAUGAAUGUUGAGAUUGAUCAGCUAGAAUUCCAGGGAGAGUUUAAUGAUAUACAACAGCAGCUGUUCUCACUGGUUUCUGAUGAUAGAGACAUCCGCCAGAUAGCAAAACAGCAUACAAGAAAUUUUUACGAGCCUACCAGUGCCACAAGCUCAGAAAAAUAUUUAAUGUUCAAACCCUGGAUCUGAACCAAGUCUGUCAAGCUUUUGGCUUCACAAACCACCUUUGGAACUUGGCAAGCUGACGUGAGGUUUUAAACAGGAUUUAAAGAAUAUUAGUCUUAUUUUAUUUGUAUAUAUUAUAUUUAUAUAUUGACAUUUACAGAUGUAUUUUGUGAAUAAAAUAUGAAUAGUAUGA